RNAcentral lists this non-coding RNA (27 nucleotides) under Mus musculus (house mouse). The record is from RNAcentral. Lineage: Eukaryota; Metazoa; Chordata; Mammalia; Rodentia; Muridae.
UAAGUGCUGGGAGUGAAAGCAUGCAUC